CCUACGGGAGGCAGCAGUGAGGAAUAUUGGUCAAUGGACGAGAGUCUGAACCAGCCAAGUAGCGUGAAGGAUGACUGCCCUAUGGGUUGUAAACUUCUUUUAUAUGGGAAUAAAAUGUUCCACGUGUGUGAUUUUGUAUGUAUCAUAUGAAUAAGGAUCGGCUAACUCCGUGCCAGCAGCCGCGGUAAUACGGAGGAUCCGAGCGUUAUCCGGAUUUAUUGGGUUUAAAGGGAGCGUAGGCGGUUUGUUAAGUUAGUUGUGAAAGUUUGCGGCUCAACCGUAACACUGCAGUUGAUACUGGCAGUCUAGAGUACAGUAGAGGUGGGCGGAAUGCGUGGUGUAGCGGUGAAAUGCUUAGAGAUCACGAAGAACACCGAUUGCGAAGGCAGCUCACUGGACUGCAACUGACACUGAGGCUCGAAAGUGUGGGUAUCAAACAGGAUUAGAUACCCCGGUAGUC
Molecule: ribosomal RNA, 460 nt
Filed under: uncultured bacterium
Lineage: Bacteria
Description: partial 16S ribosomal RNA
Rfam family: Bacterial small subunit ribosomal RNA
Source: RNAcentral